AGUGAACGCUGGCGGUAGGCCUAACACAUGCAAGUCGAACGGCAGCACAGUAAGAGCUUGCUCUUACGGGUGGCGAGUGGCGGACGGGUGAGGAAUACAUCGGAAUCUACUUUUUCGUGGGGGAUAACGUAGGGAAACUUACGCUAAUACCGCAUACGACCUACGGGUGAAAGCAGGGGAUCUUCGGACCUUGCGCGAUUGAAUGAGCCGAUGUCGGAUUAGCUAGUUGGCGGGGUAAAGGCCCACCAAGGCGACGAUCCGUAGCUGGUCUGAGAGGAUGAUCAGCCACACUGGAACUGAGACACGGUCCCGACUCCUAAGGGAGGCAGCAGUGGGGAAUAUUGGACAAUGGGCGCAAGCCUGAUCCAGCCAUACCGCGUGGGUGAAGAAGGCCUUCGGGUUGUAAAGCCCUUUUGUUGGGAAAGAAAAGCAGCAGGUUAAUACCCCGCUGUUCUGACGGUACCCAAAGAAUAAGCACCGGCUAACUUCGUG
This 492-nucleotide ribosomal RNA is filed under the name uncultured bacterium. RNAcentral's name for it is "partial 16S ribosomal RNA". It matches the Rfam family "Bacterial small subunit ribosomal RNA", at positions 29 to 507 of the family's 1533-position model. The record is from RNAcentral.